UUGUUGCCGGAGAAAAGAAACACUCGGCUCCAUGGCAACGGCAAAUCACUCAGCUCCAUGGCAACGGCAAAGCCCGGGAAGGACGUUCUGUUUUUUGGUUGGUGUCUGAUGCUGCUUUCAAGUGCUGGUGAUGAGCUCGCAACAUCUGAGAAUUCCCACUUGCAUUUGUUUACCGUUCAGGUGUUUGAUCCCAUCUUGAUGAUGAUAUGUAGCGAAACAUUUUAUUGAAUGCAAAGAAAAUGACAUGUUCUAAUAAAUCCUAUGAAACCCAA
This is a long non-coding RNA of Sebastes umbrosus (honeycomb rockfish), 272 nucleotides long. RefSeq lists it as uncharacterized. The transcript has 2 exons. Lineage: Eukaryota; Metazoa; Chordata; Actinopteri; Perciformes; Sebastidae. The record is from RefSeq and is a predicted model, not a curated record.